Molecule: transfer RNA, 67 nt
Filed under: Mesembrina meridiana
Lineage: Eukaryota; Metazoa; Arthropoda; Insecta; Diptera; Muscidae
Description: tRNA-Cys
Source: RNAcentral
AACUUUAUAGUCAAUGAUGAUAUUAGACUGCAAUUCUAAAGGAGUAUUAAUAAAUUUACUAAAGUUU